RNAcentral lists this ribosomal RNA (742 nucleotides) under uncultured bacterium. Its description in RNAcentral is "bacterial SSU rRNA". It matches the Rfam family "Bacterial small subunit ribosomal RNA", at positions 108 to 851 of the family's 1533-position model. The record is from RNAcentral.
GAGUAACGCGUAUCCAACCUGCCCACCACUUGGGGAUAACCUUGCGAAAGUAAGACUAAUACCCAAUGAUAUCUCUAGAAGGCAUCUGAAAGAGAUUAAAGAUUUAUCGGUGAUGGAUGGGGAUGCGUCUGAUUAGCUUGUUGGCGGGGUAACGGCCCACCAAGGCAACGAUCAGUAGGGGUUCUGAGAGGAAGGUCCCCCACAUUGGAACUGAGACACGGUCCAAACUCCUACGGGAGGCAGCAGUGAGGAAUAUUGGUCAAUGGACGAGAGUCUGAACCAGCCAAGUAGCGUGCAGGAUGACGGCCCUAUGGGUUGUAAACUGCUUUUAUAAGGGAAUAAAGUGAGUCUCGUGGGACUUUUUGCAUGUACCUUAUGAAUAAGGACCGGCUAAUUCCGUGCCAGCAGCCGCGGUAAUACGGAAGGUCCGGGCGUUAUCCGGAUUUAUUGGGUUUAAAGGGAGCGUAGGCCGGAGAUUAAGCGUGUUGUGAAAUGUAGAUGCUCAACAUCUGAACUGCAGCGCGAACUGGUUUCCUUGAGUACGCACAAAGUGGGCGGAAUUCGUGGUGUAGCGGUGAAAUGCUUAGAUAUCACGAAGAACUCCGAUUGCGAAGGCAGCUCACUGGAGCGCAACUGACGCUGAAGCUCGAAAGUGCGGGUAUCGAACAGGAUUAGAUACCCUGGUAGUCCGCACGGUAAACGAUGGAUGCCCGCUGUUGGUCUGAAUAGGUCAGCGGCCAAG